Molecule: unclassified non-coding RNA, 259 nt
Filed under: Hevea brasiliensis (rubber tree)
Lineage: Eukaryota; Viridiplantae; Streptophyta; Magnoliopsida; Malpighiales; Euphorbiaceae
Source: RNAcentral
CCUUGUUUUCAUUCUUACUCGCACUGAGGUAUCUUGUGUUUCGAUUGUUUGCUUCUCGAGAUAGGUUCAAUUUGGAGUGUUUGAUGGUGUUUUUGUUUGAGGGAUUUGAUUGGAUUUCUUCGUUGCGAAACUCGGUGAAUUUUGUAAUUGGAAAGAAGCUUGUUCUCUGUGUGAGUAGGGUUUUACGAUGUUGUCAAGUAGUAGGUGAUUGACUUAAAUCGUUGUCAAGUGGGUAAAUCUGUGGAAAUUCGACAAGCUG